RNAcentral lists this small RNA (29 nucleotides) under Bombyx mori (domestic silkworm). RNAcentral's name for it is "ovarian small RNA-14408". The record is from RNAcentral. Lineage: Eukaryota; Metazoa; Arthropoda; Insecta; Lepidoptera; Bombycidae.
CGCUCGGUAAAGGUCGCGUUAACGGCAAC